Molecule: ribosomal RNA, 460 nt
Filed under: uncultured bacterium
Lineage: Bacteria
Description: partial 16S ribosomal RNA
Rfam family: Bacterial small subunit ribosomal RNA
Source: RNAcentral
CCUACGGGAGGCAGCAGUGAGGAAUAUUGGUCAAUGGGCGGAAGCCUGAACCAGCCAAGUAGCGUGCAGGAUGACGGCCCUAUGGGUUGUAAACUGCUUUUAUACGGGAAUAACGCGCCUUACGUGUAGGGUUUUGCAUGUACCGCAUGAAUAAGGACCGGCUAAUUCCGUGCCAGCAGCCGCGGUAAUACGGAAGGUCCGGGCGUUAUCCGGAUUUAUUGGGUUUAAAGGGAGCGUAGGCCGCAUGUCAAGCGUGCGGUGAAAUGUCGGGGCUCAACCCGGGCCUUGCAGCGCGAACUGGCGUGCUUGAGUGCGCGGAAGGCAGGCGGAAUUCGUGGUGUAGCGGUGAAAUGCUUAGAUAUGACGAAGAACCCCGAUUGCGAAGGCAGCAUACGGCAGCGGAACUGACGCUGAUGCUCGAAGGCGCGGGUAUCGAACAGGAUUAGAUACCCGGGUAGUC